Non-coding RNA from Macaca mulatta (Rhesus monkey), 617 nucleotides. Lineage: Eukaryota; Metazoa; Chordata; Mammalia; Primates; Cercopithecidae. The record is from RefSeq and is a predicted model, not a curated record.
ACCAGAACUGUGCAGGUUGGGGAGAGAGGAGAGAAGGUUGAAAGGAAUGUGAUUGCAACCUGUUCCGCUGUGAUCUGCCUAAUUACCUCACCUUCCUGUGGCUGCUGCUGCUGUAAGAUCAGGCAUGACCAACAUUAUACGUGAACAAGAGAAGAAAAAGGAAACGAGAUGCCAGCCCCCAAAAGAGAAAUGUUUAUCAGGCUGGCAAGAUUUGGCAAAUGAGCUGAGGCUGUAUUCUGAAACUUGCCAUGAAGGAAAAUCUUCAGCAUUCAGGUUGCAACUCUUUGUGAAAUAAGCAAGACAGAUCUCAAAUAAAAACCUGUGAGUCACUCUUGACUUUUUCUCUCUCCCUUGCACCACCGUGUCAUCAGUCACUAACUAUAAUCGACCUGGAAAAGGUGGCCUGAACCUGCCCCUUUCCCCUCACCCAGCCACGCAGCCUGGGUAUGCCCUCAGGGUUCCUCACUCAGGCUUUGGCCUUAGGAAAAUUGCCCUGGUUGAUUUUUAGAGAAGGGGUGGAAGAAGGAAGACCAGUUACUAAUUCUGAUUUUGAUGCCCCUGUUUAACCCUGCAUUAUAAUUCCUCACAGCUCAAGAAAUAAAGCUUUUUAAGCCUCA